Molecule: ribosomal RNA, 444 nt
Filed under: uncultured bacterium
Lineage: Bacteria
Description: bacterial SSU rRNA
Rfam family: Bacterial small subunit ribosomal RNA
Source: RNAcentral
CCAGACUCCUACGGGAGGCAGCAGUGGGGAAUAUUGCACAAUGGGGGAAACCCUGAUGCAGCGACGCCGCGUGAGUGAAGAAGUAUCUCGGUACGUAAAGCUCUAUCAGCAGGGAAGAAAAUGACGGUACCUGACUAAGAAGCCCCGGCUAACUACGUGCCAGCAGCCGCGGUAAUACGUAGGGGGCAAGCGUUAUCCGGAUUUACUGGGUGUAAAGGGAGCGUAGACGGCAGCACAAGUCUGGAGUGAAAUCCCGGGGCUUAACCCCGGAACUGCUUUGGAAACUGUGCAGCUCGAGUGCAGGAGAGGUAAGCGGAAUUCCUAGUGUAGCGGUGAAAUGCGUAGAUAUUAGGAGGAACACCAGUGGCGAAGGCGGCUUGCUGGACGAUGACUGACGUUGAGGCUCGAAAGCGUGGGGAGCAAACAGGAUUAGAUACCCCAGUA